AUUGAACGCUGGCGGCAUGCUUUACACAUGCAAGUCGGACGGCAGCACAGAGAAGCUUGCUUCUUGGGUGGCGAGUGGCGAACGGGUGAGUAAUAUAUCGGAACGUACCGAGCAGUGGGGGAUAACUAAUCGAAAGAUUAGCUAAUACCGCGUAUUUUCUGAGGAAGAAAGCAGGGGACCAUUUGGCCUUGCGCUGUUUGAGCGGCCGAUAUCUGAUUAGCUAGUUGGUGGGGUAAAGGCCUACCAAGGCGACGAUCAGUAGCGGGUCUGAGAGGAUGAUCCGCCACACUGGGACUGAGACACGGCCCAGACUCCUACGGGAGGCAGCAGUGGGGAAUUUUGGACAAUGGGCGCAAGCCUGAUCCAGCCAUGCCGCGUGUCUGAAGAAGGCCUUCGGGUUGUAAAGGACUUUUGUCAGGGAAGAAAAGGACAGGGUUAAUACCCCUGUCUGAUGACGGACCUGAAGAAUAAGCCCG
This 476-nucleotide ribosomal RNA is filed under the name Neisseria pharyngis. RNAcentral describes it as "bacterial SSU rRNA". It matches the Rfam family "Bacterial small subunit ribosomal RNA", at positions 30 to 494 of the family's 1533-position model. The record is from RNAcentral. Lineage: Bacteria; Pseudomonadati; Pseudomonadota; Betaproteobacteria; Neisseriales; Neisseriaceae.